Molecule: ribosomal RNA, 1245 nt
Filed under: metagenome
Description: SSU rRNA
Rfam family: Eukaryotic small subunit ribosomal RNA
Source: RNAcentral
AAUCCCUUAUCGAGGAUCAAUUGGAGGGCAAGUCUGGUGCCAGCAGCCGCGGUAAUUCCAGCUCCAAUAGCGUAUAUUAAAGUUGUUGCAGUUAAAAAGCUCGUAGUUGGAUUUAAGUUUGUUUGUGCGUUGUGAUCGUGAGAUGACGAUGCAUUGAGCAGACAUUAUUUGGGAUUUGGGGUUUCUUGGCAUUCAGUUGUUGAGAUUCAACUGCCCAUCGUUUACUGUGAAAAAAUUAGAGUGUUUAAAGCAGGGGUUUUUCCUUUGGAUAUAUUAGCAUGGAAUAAUAAUAUAUGACUCGUAUGGUCUAUUUUGUUGGUUUGCACAUAUGAGUAAUGAUUAAUAGGGACAGUUGGGGGUAUUCAUAUUUGAGCGUCAGAGGUGAAAUUCUUGGAUCGCUGAAAGAUGAGCUAAGGCGAAAGCAUUUACCAAGGAUGUUUUCAUUAAUCAAGAUCGAAAGUUAGGGGAUCGAAGAUGAUUAGAUACCAUCGUAGUCUUAACCGUAAACUAUGCCGACUCGGGAUGGUUAUGACGCUUUUUAGUCAUAGCUGCACCGUAUGAGAAAUCAAAGUCUUUGGGUUCCGGGGGAAGUAUGAUCGCAAGAUUGAAACUUAAAGGAAUUGACGGAAGGGCACUCCAAAUGUGGAACUUGCGGCUUAAUUUGACCCAACACGGGGAAACUUACCAGGUCCAGACAUAAUAAGGAUUGACAGAUUGAGAGCUCUUUCUUGAUUUUAUGGGUGGUGGUGCAUGGCCGUUCUUAGUUGGUGGAGUGAUUUGUCUGGUUUAUUCCGUUAACGAACGAGACGUGUGUAUGUAGUUUAUUUGCUUGUCUUUUUGACGAGGCCAAGUACCUACAUAGACUAUUAGUGACUAACUAAUUGAAGUGACACGCAAUAACAGGUCUGUGAUGCCCUUAGACGUUCUGGGCCGCACGCGCGUUACAAUGAAUCGUUCAACAGGUUUUUUUCCUGAGUCGAAAGGCUUGGGUAAUCCUUUAAAUACGGUUCGUGCUAGGGAUAGAUUUUUGCAAUUAUUAAUCUUGAACGAGGAAUAUUUAGUAAACGCAGGUCAUCAGCCUGCAUUGAUUACGUCCCUGCCCUUUGUACACACCGCCCGUCGCACCAACCGAUUGGAUGUUUUGUUGAAAUAUGUGGAUGUUUGUUGAGUGGAUUAAUUUUCGCUCGAUAGAUAGAAACGUAUUAAAACUGAAUAUCUAGAGGAUGGUGAAGUCGUAACAAGGUU